RNAcentral lists this non-coding RNA (47 nucleotides) under unclassified sequences. Its description in RNAcentral is "SAM-SAH-Weickhmann-2018 RNA". It matches the Rfam family "SAM/SAH riboswitch aptamer". The record is from RNAcentral.
CUGCCACAACGGCUUCCUGACGUGGCAGAGAAACAUUAAAUGGAGCG